GUGCUCCUACAUUGGAGUCAUAAAUUUAAUAUGACAUAAAACAACACACGAUAUGUCCGUUUUCACUCCCCAACACAGUAUUGUCCACUAAGAAGAACGUGUUGUCAAACACAAAACCAACAUGGAUUUUAAAAAGACAGCUAAAAGUCUGUGGAAUAACCAGUUUGUUUGGUAACAGAAGUUUUGUUUUUCACAUAGAACUAACGGUAUUAUAGGGCAACCUUCCCUUCCUGUAAAGUUCGACGUGUUACAUAAUAAUUUUCAUAUCACUCGUCCGCCUCGGGUCAUGUUGUUAUGAAGUUAUGAAUGAUUCUUUCAACAUCGGAGCAACUUUUGUAUAAUUCUUCAGUUUUAUUUAUAUGCUAGGAAAGCUGAUAAAAUGGACACUUCUAUCUCUAGUAAUGAUAGUCUAAUGCCUUUUGGAUUUGGAGGUCAACAGGGGCGUAGCUUACGUUGAGGCAACAGAACCCGAGGCAGUUAACUGAGGCAACUGCUUCGGUAAAAAAAAAAAUUUCCUUCACUGUAUUUUCUUUUAAAUGAUUAUUGCAGCAAACUGGCUACUAAACAAUAAUGUAGCAACGUGUUAUGUCAUGUUGGCGUGGUUAUUGAUUCAUACCCUUUACGAAUUAUUCAAGACUUAUGGGAACAUAAAUUUGAAUUAAUUUUCCCUCCUCUACUUGGAAAUGCCCUUUACGGUAGUUUUAUGUAAUUCGAGUUUGUCAGAGUAAAAGGAAAUCGACAACACAUUUAUUUUGUCCUACCCCAUUGCAAGCGAAAACAGUCAAUUAGUUAAUUUUGUGUCAGAAUAAUUUCUAGUAUAUGAGGGCCUGGGUGAGGUUUUAACAGAAAAAUCAGCCCUGAAAUUAAUUUAAAUUUAAAAGAAUAUGGAUUUAAAAUGGUUCUAAGUUAUAAAAUAAAGAAAAUUCAAAUUAUGGGCGACAAUAAUUAAAAAAUUAAUAUUUGAUAAUCCCAUUCUAAGCAUUCAAACCCUCAAUUAUAACCGUUGACAUGUUCCCCUACGACUAUGUUCAUUGACUUUGGUGCUAAACAAUGCUUUUUUUAUUUCAAAAACACUCCGUCACAUUGACAUGUGAAAUAAGAGGUAAAUUACAGAAAAUACAAAAUACAAUCACAUACAAUUAAAGAAAUAAAUAAAACAACUUAACAAAACUAAACAAAACAAAAUAUGCAGUUAUAUAUUAUAGUGCACAGAAAAUAAUUUAUAUGUUUUGGUUCUCAAGUUUUUAAAUUCAUAGUACGUUUUCACAAGCAGGGAAUUUAAAAUAUUUAAAGGAAUCACUAAUUCCAGAGAAACAUGUCUGUUAGUUAAUACAUAAUGUCAGUUUAUACUAGAACACACCCGUAUAUCGCAGGUCCGUGACUGAAUUAAAGUAUAUAACUAUGCGCAAGCCUUAUUUUAGUAUGAGUAUUGUCAUCUGAUAAAGUCAUGCUGAUUAUAAGAUACACAGUUUUCUCUGCUUUCAAAUCUUUCUGUUUGAACCCGUCAAACUGGAACUUAUGAAUUAUUGAUAAUAUUAAUUAUUUGGAAAACAAAAGGUCCUGGAAUGGAGUAUUUUUUAAUCAACAGCAUUGUCCUAUAUUAGUUAUAAAUAUUGAAUUCUUUGAUUCGCUGUUUUACGUCAUGCCCGCUAACAAAUUGAAAACUGUACCUAUACGCCUUAUUUUAGUCCAGAUUUUUAGUAUUCGUAUUGUUAUCUUAGAAAAUCUAACUGAUUAAAAUACUACAAUAGGUAACAAUUUGACUAUUAAGUAGUGUCAACCCUGUGAUUAUGACCCGUGUAAUACUAUAUAGCAUAUUAAUCCUGAAUACACCGUUUGGUGGUGCGCCUGUCAGAUGCGGAACGUACAGAUAAGGUAAUCGGUAACAGGUGAAUAUGGUAUUGGUAUUGGACUCGACCCGGAACUUCUUAAUUAUUGGCAAUAUUAAUUACGUGGAAAACAAAAGGGCCUGGAGUGGUGUAAUUUUUAAUCUACAUCUUUGUACUAUAUUAGUUAUAUAUAAAGUUGAAUUCUUUGAUUCGUCGUUUUUACGUGAUGACGGCUGACAAAUUGGACCUCGUAAUUUUAGUAUUAUAGAUAUAUAAAAAAAUCAAACAAAUACUGUUCAUUUAUAAUGAAGACUUCAGAAUAAAGUAAAUGUUAGUUAUUCGCCGCUUGUCAUGUUCAUCGUGAAUAAAAAAAAAAGUUAAAAAUUAUUCAAUAUGUAAUUUCAACACCUUCGAAGCAAUACACCAUUAAAACAAGUGUUUUACAUGUAGCAUAUGUUUUUCUCCUAGUUUAUCCUGAAAUUCGUUUGUUCAAUCAAGCUGUCAUUUUGUGGUGAUUAUCUAUAAUUCGUUGAUUUGUGACCUACGACCAAAUAUAUGAUCAUCACAAAACUUAUUACAAAUAAACCUUAAUGUUUGCGUUGUUUUUUUUUCUGUACUUUUCUGAAAAUUUUGUACAGGUUUCAUCUAUCCACCAAACAAGGUCAUGAUUUCUUGUGAUAUGACGUGUGAGGUACAGCCAACUAUAUUAGAGUGUACUACGGCUUGGAAAUAUAUUGGGAGCCAUAAGGCAUUUGAGCUGGCUUUCACGUAUUUUGUUAUUUUUAUAAAUUUGAGUAUAGAUAGUAAGGCAUAUAAUUAACUCUAUUAUGAUGAAAUAGCAUUGAACAGCAACUAUCUUUAACGAAUUUUUCUUGUUCAAAUUGUAAAAACCUCUUAUAGUUUCGGGGGGGGGCUGCGCCCCUGACCCCCUGCCUCGAUAUAAACAGAAGACAAGCUACGCCACUGGUCAACUUGCUGUUUUCUGCUGAUACAUGACAUGAUUCUUGUUUGGCUUAGGUCUGAAAACAUCUGUGACAUGGAAUGACUUUUUUUUAUAUGAUUUAUGAUAAAAACAGCAACUUUUUCUAAAGAUGAGCAGUCCUGACAUGAGUCGGUUAAAAGCUCAUUAGAGCUUAUGUUGUCACUGUUUGUAUACCUUGCCGACUCUGAAUAAAGCUUGUUUAUUUAUGAGUUUAUGAGUUUAUGAAGAAGCUAUAUACAGCUCAUACAUGUAGUUAAACCAUUAGUAUUUUUAUAUAAAGUAAAUUACAAGGCAGCAAUAGAAGUUAUCAACUUAGGCCACACCAAUUUGAUUCCUUGUUCCACGGACCUGUCCGCACCUAUUUCUUUCAAAACAAAAUUUUUUUAUUUUUUUUAUAUUCCGCCGCUCGUGCAUCCAGAAAUGUUAUCAUGUCCAUUUCCUGCACUGUUUUUUUUUUUGUAAAUAUUAUAAAAAGAGAUCAACAUUUGUUUUUAACACAGUCUAACCUGUAUAUAACGAUUUUAAUCAUAAAAGCACCCCACCACACUGUGUAAAUAUCUGUGAGAAUAUUUGUUUCAGCAUGAAACCUAUAUAUCCAAAGUGGGAGUGCUCCGAUAUAAAUUUAUAACAGCGAAAUACCUGUAAAGAACAAAAAAUUGGUUUCUUUCCCCCUUACUUAUAUUCCCUAUCAAAAAAUGUUCGUUGUUAGAAUAAAGUACAAAGAACAUGAAUUCUGAAGUAUUUGCCUUCAACUGCAUUAUAUUGUAUGCUGGCGAAACAAAACUAUCCAAAGCCGCUGCAUGUUUAUGCACCUGUCCUGAUUGAUUCAGGGACCUGUCGUUCAGCAGUUAUCGUUUGUUGAUGUUGUUCAUUGGUAUUUUUCCGUUUGGAUAUAUAUAUUAGAUCGUUGGUUUUCCAGUUCGAAUUGUGUACGCUUAUAAUUUUGGGGUCCUUUAUAGCUUGCUGUUUGGUCUCUAUCAAAGCCCUGUGUUAAAGGCCGUACUUUGACCUGUGUUUGUUAUUAUCAGGUUGAGAACAACCCUCCCUCAGACAAGGGGUCAUUUUAAUGAUGUAGAAAAGAAAAUAGAAAUACCAAGGAUUUGUAUAGUUCUUCUAUACAAAACCUUUGAAAACUUCGAAUUUUGUACUCAAAAAAGAGAGAGUUACAUCAUAUUUUAAACAACUUUUUUCUAAAAGAGGGGUCCACUUAUAAUAUUAAACUGUUAAAGUAAAUGUGUUAAUUUAACAUGGUUAAAGUCCAGGAAUAUUACAAAAUUCUUGGACAUGUUUUGACCAUUUAAUACCAGAUAGAUAUAUAGUUCUUUGAGAAAUAUGAGCCUUUUUGUACAAACAAAUAUAUUAUAACUUAUAUUGAUCAUGUAUAACAUGUAAAAGGGAUAUUUAUAACAUUAAGGGGUUGCCCCCAAACUGAUUAUGACUUGGAUGGAGAAUUAUCUCAUUGUCAGUCACACAUACAUAGACAAAUGAUAGAGGUGUAAUACCACCAAAUCAUGGUACGUCACAUCCGGUUGUAUACGAAAGUACAUUUGUAGGUCGAAAAAAAUAUUCCCUUGAAUUUGACAGUUGUAGGUAAUUAAUCCUACAUUUUAUUGCAGUAAAACCAUUUCUGUGUCAUAAACAUAUGUCUUGGGUAUUUCAAAACACCAUUAUAUUUUAUUUGGGAUUUCUAUAGAAAAUUUUGUAAUCUUGAGGUUACAUGGUGACUAAACCUUGUACACAGAUCAAAUAAGGGGAGAAAUUUGAUUGGUUAACUUCCAAUGAUGGUUAUUUUCUUAUAUGCAAUGAAAUGUUAUGUGAAUUUUUUUUCUAUAGAACUGGACAGGAUAAAACUUUACUCAUGCCAAGUAUUUCUUUAUUUGAAACAAAGAUAAAUUCUGCACAUUUUUUUGAAAAGUGCAAAUUUAACAAAGACUAAUAGGGGAAAAUCAAUGGUGGUAUUACACCUAGACCAGAUUUAAUUAUUUCUUGGUGAACUAGGAAAAAAUACUUCAGAAAUUAAAGAAAUGUCAAAGUACAAGUGAUAAAUCAAGUUUUAAUAUUGUCAUGAUUGUCAAAACCUACUAUUUUAUGUUUACAAAAAAAAAUUAUAAUCGCUCGCCUUUACUUUUCAAGCUUCGCCUCAAAAAUUUCCAAAUUAAAUGUUUUUUUAUUAAAAUUUUUAAAUUGCUCGCUUACCCCAAAUUUUGGAGUCCAAAAAUCUAUAGAACAAGAAAUUAAAUUGGUGUGGCCUUAAACUUUGGCUUAAAGAUCGCCGCAAUAAUCAAGGUAGAAUCCAGGUACAUGUAUGAUGUAAGUAGGUAGAUGUACAUAUCAACAUCUCAUGGGUUUUCAAUCUAAUUUGAUGAUUUUUCUACUUGUCGCUAUUUUCUUUCUUUUUGUCACUUCUUAAUGCUUAUUAGUGAGACCUGUUUUUAUCCCCACUGACAUGAUCUAUGGGCAUUAUAUAUAUAUAUAUAUAUUUGUCUGUCUACGCGUCCGUCAGUUCCUUGCAAGGUCUGUCUGUCCCAAUUCAGGUUAAAGUUAUUGGUCACAAUGGUUUUUGGAUGGAGUUGAAGUCCAAUAUUAACUUGUUCUUAUAAAUAGGCCAUGCAUGCAGGUGGAAGACUGGAAAACUUAAAGAAAGAAAGAAACUUGAAACUUAGUACAUGUACACAUGUACCCUAUGAUAUGAUUUUUCCAAUUGUAAUGCCAAAUCAGAGUUAUAAACCCAAUUUCAGGGUCCACUGAAUAUAAAAAAUGAUAGAUGUGUGGGGCAUCUGUGUACCAUGGUGUACUAGGGACUCAUUCUUUUUUUAAACAUGAAAAAUUAAUUUAAUUCACAGAGAAAAUGAUUUCAUUUCAUUGAAAAUUAUGAACAUGAUAAAUUUGUAUCAUUUUAAGUAAAAAUGCAGGAGGCAAGAUUUUCACAGUUCCCCUUUUUAUCACCAUCAAGUUAUUGUUCAGUUAAAGGAUUGUAACUCAUUUAAGGGGUAGUUCCCUUUUUUGGCUGAUGUCCCUGAACUGUUAUAUUGGAUAUGCAUAUAUUUAUACAUAUAAUAUGGAGUGAUGAUAAAUGUAUUACCACAUUUCAGAAAGUCAAAACUAAGUGGUCUCCCCUUCACAUACAAAACAUGUACAAAUGUAUAUCUACAAUGUACAUCAUAAUCUAUACAAAAGUGCUUAUUAUAGCAUCUUAAUCAGAGGCGGAUUUUUUUCAGAAAAAUUUUGGUUGGUUAUAUAGGGAAUCACUGAAGGGUGACAGAAUCGGCCCCCCUUAGGCAUGUUAGGCAGUCAGUGGGCCCCUCUUAUGAAAAAUUCUAGAUCUGCCACUGUUAAUAAAUUCAUAAUUUAUAAUAGUUUAAUUGCUAUGUUCCAGACCAUAUGAGUAUUUGGACCGUACGCGUACGGUCUGGACCAUAUGCGUACUUUUUCAAAAUACUCAUACGGUCGGACCGUACGCGUACGGUCUAACUAGUAUUAAAAAAGAUGGUCAGGUUUAUCAGAUACAAAUGCAUAUAGCAGAUCAACAUAACUUAUCUAUCAAAUUAAUAUAAAAAAAAGUUCAAUUGAAAUUGCAACAAAAACUUUAUAUUUUAACUUUUUUUUAAUUCACGCUAAUUAAAUCUGUUAAUCUCUUGUAUCUAGCAUGUUGAUCAGCAAUACAUUAAUUAAAUUAUGAUCACUGAAAUUGAAGAUAUCGGAAGUAAAUAUCAUGUGGGAGGUCAAUUGUUUUGGAAUAUUUAGCAACUUUACCACAAAAAGCAAAUGCAAAGAACAUGCAUGAACUGCAUACAUGAAAAUGUAAAAAAUAUUACGUUACUUGAAUUGUGUCACCUUGGGCGAUAGUACCAAAAUAGGAUUCAGAUAUACAAAUACUUAAUUUCAAUUGUUCAUUUGUUCAUUUUAUCUAAUUGUAGUACAUUAUCAAUAACAAUUUGAAGAUUGUGAUAAAUAGUGGAAGAUAUUAUGGACAUAAUUGUGCAAAUCGUGAUACAAGCAUGAAAUUUGGUAUAACGGUUGACUAAAUGAUAAUUAGAAAAAAUCAGCUGCUGGCCAUCAAAAAUUUCCAUUUUUUCAAGAUGGCCACCGAUCAUUUUGCAAAUGGCGUCAUAUCCAAUUUGCUACAUUUUGUAAAUCUUUGAAAUCUGUGUUAUAGGUUUAAUCCAAUGUACGUUUUGAUAAAACAUAAAUAACAGUUCCUACAGUACGACAAAACAACACAUAAAUGACAAAAAAAGUGACUUCCGGUUCCAAAAUGGCGGCAAACAUUUUGAAAAUGUAUUUUUUUUUAAUUUCCAUCAUCUUAACAAGUUAUAUCACAUUCUUUGUUAUGCUUGUUUCAAUUUAAUUUAUUACCCAUAUGAUCAAAUAACAUGUAUGGUCAGCUCAUACCGGACCGUACGCGUAUACUCAUACGGUCCGACCAUACGCGUAUGGUCGGACCGUACGAGUAUACGUAUACAGUCCGGACCGUACGCGUACGGUCCAAAUACUCAUAUGGUCUGGAACAGCUAUACAUUAAUGACAUUGUAUGUUAUUUUUAGUGUGAAACUUUCAAAAAUGGAAUUAAGGAAAUGUAAAUAUGAUGUUAUGGGGAGAAAAACAACAUCAAUGAUCAAACACAAACUUUUCGUAACAAACUAAGGAAUAAAAACCAAAUAAAAAGUGGGUAAUGCAAAAACACAAUUUUAUGUCAGGCAUGCAAGCCAUUAGCUCUUUAAAAUUACAUGGAACUGGGUAAAAAAAAUAUGGAUAGGACUUAAAAUUAUUUUAAAACAUGUUUUUAUGUUUUUUAGGACAUUGGGUAAAAGUUGGGGUGUAUUCAUAGUAGCUAUUUUUGUAGCCAGAGAGAUGGCAAAUGCAGAAGCAGAACAAGCUAUCGAGGCAGCAGCCCAGAAAGUCAUUCCAACAUAAAUGUUUUACAGG
RNAcentral lists this long non-coding RNA (7737 nucleotides) under Mytilus galloprovincialis (Mediterranean mussel). The record is from RNAcentral. Lineage: Eukaryota; Metazoa; Mollusca; Bivalvia; Mytilida; Mytilidae.